GGGGAAUAUUGGACAAUGGGGGGAACCCUGAUCCAGCCAUGCCGCGUGUGUGAAGAAGGCCUUAUGGUUGUAAAGCACUUUAAGCGAGGAGGAGGCUCCUGUAGUUAAUACCUACAGUGAGUGGACGUUACUCGCAGAAUAAGCACCGGCUAACUCUGUGCCAGCAGCCGCGGUAAUACAGAGGGUGCGAGCGUUAAUCGGAUUUACUGGGCGUAAAGCGUACGUAGGCGGCUUAUUAAGUCGGAUGUGAAAUCCCUGAGCUUAACUUAGGAAUUGCAUUCGAUACUGGUGAGCUAGAGUAUGGGAGAGGAUGGUAGAAUUCCAGGUGUAGCGGUGAAAUGCGUAGAGAUCUGGAGGAAUACCGAUGGCGAAGGCAGCCAUCUGGCCUAAUACUGACGCUGAGGUACGAAAGCAUGGGGAGCAAACAGGAUUAGAUACCCUGGUAGUCCAUGCCGUAAACGAUGUCUACUAGCCGUUGGGGCCUUUGAGGCCUUAGUGGCGCAGCUAACGCGAUAAGUAGACCGCCUGGGGAGUACGGUCGCAAGACUAAAACUCAAAUGAAUUGACGGGGGCCCGCACAAGCGGUGGAGCAUGUGGUUUAAUUCGAUGCAACGCGAAGAACCUUACCUGGUCUUGACAUAGUAAGAACUUUCCAGAGAUGGAUUGGUGCCUUCGGGAGCUUACAUACAGGUGCUACAUGGCUGUCGUCAGCUCGUGUCGUGAGAUGUUGGGUUAAGUC
This 739-nucleotide ribosomal RNA is filed under the name uncultured bacterium. RNAcentral describes it as "bacterial SSU rRNA". It matches the Rfam family "Bacterial small subunit ribosomal RNA", at positions 356 to 1086 of the family's 1533-position model. The record is from RNAcentral.